GCUCAAUUCAUAAUUCUUACAUAGUUUUGCAUCGCCGACGUUCUUAAACUGAGAUCCAAGUGUUAAAAGUACAAUAAAACUGCCAGCGCAGCGUUUUAACAAUUGUUGACCUAAUUAUACUAUCUUGAGAAUCUCGCUUCAAUUUUACUCGCACAAAUUUUGCUGCUGGGUUGAUUUUCACAAGCAAGGUAAUUCUUGCUCCUCCUAAAUGUAUAGUACUUCUAGCUAUAUGAUUGAAGACUGGUACGCAC
This is a non-coding RNA of Paramuricea clavata, 251 nucleotides long. The record is from the annotation of a GenBank genome assembly. Lineage: Eukaryota; Metazoa; Cnidaria; Anthozoa; Malacalcyonacea; Plexauridae.